This is a non-coding RNA of Pteropus alecto (black flying fox), 159 nucleotides long. Lineage: Eukaryota; Metazoa; Chordata; Mammalia; Chiroptera; Pteropodidae. The record is from Rfam.
AGCUUUCCUCAGUGGCAGUAUUGUCACCAAUGAGAUUUAUCUGAAGUGCAAUUAUUGCUAAUUGAAAAGUAUUUCUAAUCUCAAUGACUUUCUGCAUCAUUCUUCUUGCUUGGUAGGCUUCAGUCAAGGUAUGUUAUCUUCUUGAUCUUCUACCCAAGA